RNAcentral lists this ribosomal RNA (449 nucleotides) under uncultured bacterium. RNAcentral's name for it is "bacterial SSU rRNA". It matches the Rfam family "Bacterial small subunit ribosomal RNA", at positions 1 to 426 of the family's 1533-position model. The record is from RNAcentral.
CUCUCGCGAAUGCUCUAGAUUAGACGUUUGAUCAUGGCUCAGACNUGAGACGCUGGUCGGCCAAGGCCUAACACAUGCAAGUCGAACGGUAACAGGAAGCAGCUUGCUGCUUCGCUGACGAGUGGCGGACGGGUGAGUAAUGUCUGGGAAACUGCCUGAUGGAGGGGGAUAACUACUGGAAACGGUAGCUAAUACCGCAUAACGUCGCAAGACCAAAGAGGGGGACCUUCGGGCCUCUUGCCAUCGGAUGUGCCCAGAUGGGAUUAGCUAGUAGGUGGGAUAACGGCUCACCUAGGCGACGAUCCCUAGCUGGUCUGAGAGGAUGACCAGCCACACUGGAACUGAGACACGGUCCAGACUCCUACGGGAGGCAGCAGUGGGGAAUAUUGCACAAUGGGCGCAAGCCUGAUGCAGCCAUGCCGCGUGUAUGAAGAAGGCCUUCGGGUUGU